This 486-nucleotide ribosomal RNA is filed under the name uncultured bacterium. RNAcentral's name for it is "partial 16S ribosomal RNA". It matches the Rfam family "Bacterial small subunit ribosomal RNA", at positions 899 to 1397 of the family's 1533-position model. The record is from RNAcentral.
ACUCAAAUGAAUAGACGGGGGCCCGCACAAGCGGCGGAGCGUGUGGUUUAAUUCGAUGCGACGCGAAGAACCUUACCCGGGCUUGACAUGCCGGUGCACCGGGGGUAACGCCCCGUCCCCUUCGGGGGCGCCGGCACAGGUGCUGCAUGGCUGUCGUCAGCUCGUGCCGUGAGGUGUUGGGUUAAGUCCCCUAACGAGCGCAACCCCCGGGGCCCGUUGUACUUCUCGGGCCCGACUGCCGCGCGCAACGCGGAGGAAGGCGGGGAUGACGUCAAGUCAGCACGGCCCCGACGCCCGGGGCGACACACACGCUACAAUGGCCGGUACAACGGGCGCGCGAGGCCGCGAGGCGGAGCCAAUCCCGACAAAGCCGGUCGUAGUUCGGAUGGCAGGCUGCAACCCGCCUGCCUGAAGCCGGAGUCGCUAGUAACCGCGGGUCAGCACACCGCGGUGAAUACGUUCCCGGGCCUUGCACACACCGCCCGU